Molecule: ribosomal RNA, 440 nt
Filed under: uncultured bacterium
Lineage: Bacteria
Description: partial 16S ribosomal RNA
Rfam family: Bacterial small subunit ribosomal RNA
Source: RNAcentral
CCUACGGGUGGCAGCAGUGGGGGAUAUUGCACAAUGGGGGAAACCCUGAUGCAGCGACGCCGCGUGUGGGAAGACGGUCUUCUGGAUUGUAAACCACUGUCCCCAGGGACGAAACUGACGGUACCUGGGGAUGAAGCUCCGGCUAACUACGUGCCAGCAGCCGCGGUAAUACGUAGGGAGCAAGCGUUGUCCGGAAUUACUGGGUGUAAAGGGAGCGUAGGCGGGGAUGCAAGUUGGGUGUCAAAACUACCGGCUCAACCGAUAGUCGCACUCAAAACUGCAACUCUUGAGUGAAGUAGAGGCAGGCGGAAUUCCUAGUGUAGCGGUGAAAUGCGUAGAUAUUAGGAGGAACACCAGUGGCGAAGGCGGCCUGCUGGGCUUUUACUGACGCUGAGGCUCGAAAGUGUGGGGAGCAAACAGGAUUAGAUACCCCUGUAGUC